GGGUCAGCUUCUCCCUGCCCCAUCCCUGCCUUGGGAAUGGGGGCCUGGGUGGCUGGUGAUCCCUGUGGGACUCCGUGCCCCCCAUCUUGGCAGGGAUCGGCUACGACUUCAAGCGCCCGCUGUCCCACCUGCGCGAGGUCCACCUGCGCCGCUACAACCUGCGCCGCUCCGCCCUCGAGCUCUUCUUCAUCGACCAGGCCAACUACUUCCUCAACUUCAGAAAGAAGGUGGAACGCCCUUAUCCCACCCCCAAGCCCCUCCCAGGGCCACGGCACUGCCCGAGCUCCGGUCACUCCGUGUCCUCUCCCCGUCCCUCCAGGUGAGGAACAAGGUGUACUCCUGCAUCCUCGGCCUGCGGCCCCCCAACCAGAUCUCCUUCGGCAGCCGCUCGCCCCAGGAGCUGCUCAAAGCCUCGGGGCUCACACAGAAAUGGGUCCUGCGGGAGAUCUCCAACUUCGAGUACCUCAUGCAGCUGAACACGAUCGCGGGGCGCACCUACAACGACCUGUCAGUACCCGUGGUGAGCCCCGUUCCUCCCGGUGCCCCCACAGCCAGCCCGUGCCCCCCAAGCCCUCACGCCACCUCCUGCUCCCCCCCAGUUCCCUGGAUCCUGCGGGAUUACGUCUCGGAGACCCUGGACCUCUCCAACCCGGCCGUGUUCCGGGACCUGUCCAAGCCCAUCGGGGUGGCCAACGAGCGGCACGCCCGGGACGUGAAGGAGAAGUACGAGAGCUUCGAGGACCCCACGGGCACCGUGGACAAGUUCCACUACGGCACCCACUACUCCAACGCGGCCGGAGUGAUGCACUACCUGAUCCGCACCGAGCCCUUCACCACCCUCCACAUCCAGCUGCAGAGCGGCAGGUUUGA
Molecule: long non-coding RNA, 870 nt
Filed under: Manacus vitellinus (golden-collared manakin)
Lineage: Eukaryota; Metazoa; Chordata; Aves; Passeriformes; Pipridae
Description: lncRNA (ENSMVIG00005019476.1)
Source: RNAcentral